GAUGAAGAACGUAGCGAAAUGCGAUAAGUAAUGUGAAUUGCAGAAUUCCGUGAAUCAUCGAAUCUUUGAACGCACAUUGCGCCCCUUGGUAUUCCAUGGGGCAUGCCUGUUCGAGCGUCAUUUGUACCUUCAAGCUCUGCUUGGUGUUGGGUGUUUGUCUCGCCUCUGCGUGUAGACUCGCCUCAAAAUAAUUGGCAGCCGGCGUAUUGAUUUCGGAGCGCAGUACAUCUCGCGCUUUGCACUCAUAACGACGACGUCCAAAAGUACAUUUUUACACUCUUGACCUCGGAUCAGGUAGGGAUACCCGCUGAACUUAAGCAUAUCAAUAAGCGGAGGA
Molecule: unclassified non-coding RNA, 337 nt
Filed under: soil metagenome
Description: partial contains 5.8S ribosomal RNA, internal transcribed spacer 2, and large subunit ribosomal RNA
Rfam family: 5.8S ribosomal RNA (bases 1-120)
Source: RNAcentral